Molecule: ribosomal RNA, 498 nt
Filed under: uncultured bacterium
Lineage: Bacteria
Description: partial 16S ribosomal RNA
Rfam family: Bacterial small subunit ribosomal RNA
Source: RNAcentral
AUUGAACGCUGGCGGCAUGCCUUACACAUGCAAGUCGAACGGCAGCACGGGGCAACCUGGUGGCGAGUGGCGAACGGGUGAGUAAUGUAUCGGAACGUACCAUUGAGUGGGGGAUAACGUAGCGAAAGUUACGCUAAUACCGCAUAUUCUCUCCGGAGGAAAGCAGGGGACCGCAAGGCCUUGCGCUCUUUGAGCGGCCGAUAUCAGAUUAGCUAGUUGGUGAGGUAAAGGCUCACCAAGGCGACGAUCUGUAGCGGGUCUGAGAGGAUGAUCCGCCACACUGGAACUGAGACACGGUCCAGACUCCUACGGGAGGCAGCAGUGGGGAAUUUUGGACAAUGGGGGCAACCCUGAUCCAGCCAUGCCGCGUGAGUGAAGAAGGCCUUCGGGUUGUAAAGCUCUUUCGGCCGGGAAAAAAUCGCAUGGGCUAAUACCCUGUGUGGAUGAUGGUACCGGAAUAAGAAACACCGGCUAACUACGUGCCAGCCGCCGCCGUAA